This 2621-nucleotide long non-coding RNA is filed under the name Brassica rapa (field mustard). Its description in RNAcentral is "long non-coding RNA (BRAP_LNC006757)". The record is from RNAcentral. Lineage: Eukaryota; Viridiplantae; Streptophyta; Magnoliopsida; Brassicales; Brassicaceae.
UUGAAUAUAAAAUAAAACAAUCCUAUUGGUUGGUGAACCUAGAGGUUCACCCUAGGGGGUGGACCUAAGAAUAAGUCUUUGUAAAGAGUCAUUCUUGGGUUCACCAACCAAUAAGAUUUCAUUAUUUCAAAUUUGAUAUCUUUUAAAAAAGGAAACAAAAUAUUCUCAAAUUAUAUUAUGUUUUCAAAAUAAAAAAUGUAAAAAAAGAUAAUAGUUACAGAAAAAAAAAUUAAAAAAAAAUAUAUUUUUAAUGUUCUCAACAAAACACUAAACCCUAAAUCUUAAUCCCUAAACCCUAAAUCCUAAACCCUAAACCCUUGGGUAAACCCUAAACCCUUAGGUAAACCCUAAACCCUUGGAUAAAUCCUAAACUCUAAAUAAAAAACACUAAAACUCUAAAAUCCUAAAACCCUAAACCCUAAACGCUUGAAUGUUUUAGUGUAUAGUGAUUUUGAUUUAGAGUUUAGGAUUUAUCCUAGAGUUUAGGAUUUAUCCUAGAGUUUAGGGUUUAGGAUUAAGAGUUUAGGGAUUAGAAUUUAGGGUUUAGGGUUUAAUGUUAUGCUGACGACGUAAAAUAUUUUUUUUGUAAUUAUUACUAUUUUUUUAUCUUUUAAUUUUAAAAACAUAAUAUAAUUUGACAAUAUUUUGUUUCAUUUUUUAAAAGAUAUUGAAUAUAAAAUAAAACAAUCCUAUUGGUUGGUGAACCUAGAGGUUCACCCUAGGGGGUGGACCUAAGAAUAAGUCUUUGUAAAGAGUCAUUCUUGAGUCAUUCUUGGGUUCACCCCCUAGGGUGAACCUCUAGGUUCACCAACCAAUAGGAUUUCAUUAUUUCAAAUUUGAUAUCUUUUAAAAAAGGAAACAAAAUAUUCUCAAAUUAUAUUAUGUUUUCAAAAUAAAAAAAGUAAAAAAAGAUAAUAGUUACAGAAAAAAAAAUUAAAAAAAAAUAUAUUUUUAAUGUUCUCAACAAAACACUAAACCCUAAAUCUUAAUCCCUAAACCCUAAAUCCUAAACCCUAAACCCUUGGGUAAACCCUAAACCCUUGGGUAAACCCUAAACCCUUGGAUAAAUCCUAAACUCUAAAUAAAAAACACUAAAACUCUAAAAUCCUAAAACCCUAAACCCUAUACGCUUGAAUGUUUUAGUGUAUAGUGAUUUUGAUUUAGAGUUUAGGAUUUAUCCUAGAGUUUAGGAUUUAUCCUAGAGUUUAGGGUUUAGGAUUAAGAGUUUAGGGAUUAGAAUUUAGGGUUUAGGGUUUAAUGUUAUGCUGACGACGUAAAAUAUUUUUUUUGUAAUUAUUACUAUUUUUUUAUCUUUUAAUUUUAAAAACAUAAUAUAAUUUGACAAUAUUUUGUUUCCUUUUUUAAAAGAUAUUGAAUAUAAAAUAAAACAAUCCUAUUGGUUGGUGAACCUAGAGGUUCACCCUAGGGGGUGGACCUAAGAAUAAGUCUUUGUAAAGAGUCAUUCUUGGGUUCACCAACCAAUAAGAUUUCAUUAUUUCAAAUUUGAUAUCUUUUAAAAAAGGAAACAAAAUAUUCUCAAAUUAUAUUAUGUUUUCAAAAUAAAAAAUGUAAAAAAAGAUAAUAGUUACAGAAAAAAAAAUUAAAAAAAAAUAUAUUUUUAAUGUUCUCAACAAAACACUAAACCCUAAAUCUUAAUCCCUAAACCCUAAAUCCUAAACCCUAAACCCUUGGGUAAACCCUAAACCCUUAGGUAAACCCUAAACCCUUGGAUAAAUCCUAAACUCUAAAUAAAAAACACUAAAACUCUAAAAUCCUAAAACCCUAAACCCUAAACGCUUGAAUGUUUUAGUGUAUAGUGAUUUUGAUUUAGAGUUUAGGAUUUAUCCUAGAGUUUAGGAUUUAUCCUAGAGUUUAGGGUUUAGGAUUAAGAGUUUAGGGAUUAGAAUUUAGGGUUUAGGGUUUAAUGUUAUGCUGACGACGUAAAAUAUUUUUUUUGUAAUUAUUACUAUUUUUUUAUCUUUUAAUUUUAAAAACAUAAUAUAAUUUGACAAUAUUUUGUUUCAUUUUUUAAAAGAUAUUGAAUAUAAAAUAAAACAAUCCUAUUGGUUGGUGAACCUAGAGGUUCACCCUAGGGGGUGGACCUAAGAAUAAGUCUUUGUAAAGAGUCAUUCUUGAGUCAUUCUUGGGUUCACCCCCUAGGGUGAACCUCUAGGUUCACCAACCAAUAGGAUUUCAUUAUUUCAAAUUUGAUAUCUUUUAAAAAAGGAAACAAAAUAUUCUCAAAUUAUAUUAUGUUUUCAAAAUAAAAAAAGUAAAAAAAGAUAAUAGUUACAGAAAAAAAAAUUAAAAAAAAAUAUAUUUUUAAUGUUCUCAACAAAACACUAAACCCUAAAUCUUAAUCCCUAAACCCUAAAUCCUAAACCCUAAACCCUUGGGUAAACCCUAAACCCUUGGGUAAACCCUAAACCCUUGGAUAAAUCCUAAACUCUAAAUAAAAAACACUAAAACUCUAAAAUCCUAAAACCCUAAACCCUAUACGCUUGAAUGUUUUAGUGUAUAGUGAUUUUGAUUUAGAGUUUAGGAUUUAUCCUAGAGUUUAGGAUUUAUCCUAGAGUUUAGGGUUUAGGAUUAAGAGUUUAGGGAUUAGAAUUUAGGGUUUA